Molecule: long non-coding RNA, 278 nt
Filed under: Solanum tuberosum (potato)
Lineage: Eukaryota; Viridiplantae; Streptophyta; Magnoliopsida; Solanales; Solanaceae
Description: long non-coding RNA (STUB_LNC004068)
Source: RNAcentral
AAUACUCCCUCCGUCCCAUUUUAUGUGGCAACAUUUGACCGGGCACGGAGUUUAAGAAAUAGAUAAAGACUUUGAAAUGUUUACCAAAUUGCCCUUAAAAAAAUAGACUUAUUUUUCUCUCUCCUAAUAAAUGUAUUGGAGUACUCUUUUCAAGAUUAAGUGGGACCAACAAGGAUAAAAGAGAAAUUGUACCUUUAAAUACUUACCAAAUAAGGAAAUGUGACAUUCUUUUUGGGACUGACCAAAAAGGAAAUGUUGCCACAUAAAAUGGGACGGAG